Cyprinodon tularosa is the source of this 438-nucleotide long non-coding RNA. RefSeq lists it as uncharacterized. The record is from RefSeq and is a predicted model, not a curated record. The transcript is spliced from 3 exons. NCBI's taxonomy places the organism in Eukaryota, Metazoa, Chordata, Actinopteri, Cyprinodontiformes, Cyprinodontidae.
CUGCACAGCAGUUAGUCACGGCUCCUCCCUGCUCAGAGCCAGCGUGCUUUUCUUUUAAGGCCUCGGUCUGCAUGGAGAGAGAAACAGGAGAUGUAAGCGGUUGAGCAGGAAGAUUUGCUGUAUUAUUGUGUUGAAGAAUAUCCUGGCUGUUUUUUUUUUUUUUUACAUAGUUGCAGAACCUGCUGUUACAGCUGAGCGGUUCAUUGUAUGGACUGGACUAGACUCCACCAGAGAUGUUGAUGCAGGAUGUUCCCAAUGUCAAUGCCAUCCGGUUCCCUGGAGGGUGGUAGGAAAAACAAGGAAACUUAAGGAUUUUUCUUCCCUUUCUUUCUGCGGAUUCAUAAUUUUUUUCUUUUCUGAGAUCUCGGACAAUUUUUGUUGUUACUUUGUUUAAUUUUUUUGAUCAGAUCUGAUAAAACCACUUGAUGCAUCAGAUUU